UCAGUGCUCAGCAACUGCAACAUCUUACUAGA
This 32-nucleotide non-coding RNA is filed under the name Mus musculus (house mouse). The record is from RNAcentral. Lineage: Eukaryota; Metazoa; Chordata; Mammalia; Rodentia; Muridae.